CCGAUUACUUUUGGUUUGCUCAAGCAUUUCCUCCAAAACUCCUCCUUCCUUUUCAAACUUCCUGGCUGCAGUUUCCAUUUCUGAAGUGUCCUCCCGCAAAACCAGUGUAUAAUUUCUCCCACAUGAAAAGUUAAUAGAAUCAAAAUCUGGGCGGGCAAUCAAGGUAACAUUGGAAUUAAAACAGAACAAUGAAUAUUAAUAUCAUUUAAUCAACUCAAUUUGUUUGUUUUUCGUUUUUUUUUCUCCCUUUUUUUUUUUAAUUUUCUAGUGGCAGGCUGUAGUCAGCAGUUUCAUAAUGAUGACUAAUAGAUAGAUACAAACAUUUCCAAGUGAUACUUCUCAAUAAAUUAAUGAAAUAAUCCUUUCAAAAAGAGACGUUGCAAGAUAUUGCAGACAAUAAAUGAAAGAAAGAUUUACUUUGCCUUGCUAAUCUAUUCUGUCAGUUUUGGGCCGCAUUCCCUCUAUACUCCAAGAAUCAAGAUAGUCCACGACCCAAUAUAAACAUACAUCAUUCAGAAGACUUGGAAAAUAAUAAGUCAAACAUAUAUACAUGUACUAUGUUUUAUUUAUUUUUAGGUAGGAACUCAAACAUAUUUAUCAAUAGAAACAUGAGGACGAGGAAGUAUACCAUGGUGAAGGCACGCAGGAUGCUCAUAACAGCUGCAGUUGACAUACCCAAUGUAGCAGUCGCGUUUGCAUAAACUGCAGAGGAUCGUGCCAAGGGACCUUGUGGAAAUACGCCUACACACUCUAGAUUUAACGAGUAACCAUCG
This 773-nucleotide long non-coding RNA is filed under the name Cucumis sativus (cucumber). Its description in RNAcentral is "long non-coding RNA (CSAT_LNC001345)". The record is from RNAcentral. Lineage: Eukaryota; Viridiplantae; Streptophyta; Magnoliopsida; Cucurbitales; Cucurbitaceae.